UGCCGGGAUGCUGGCGUCUCGCUUCAAAUGUUAUUUAUAAACUUUCCGGUGCAUAUAAUUCACUAAUAUGAUUUAUAUUGUCCGUUUGCAACCACAUCUGACACCAUGUAUCGUUAUUCCUACGAUAUGAGGGCAAUAAGAAGUACAAACAAUAGUUUAGGCACACAAGUAUAAUUCCAAACAGUUACAUCAUGUACGUGUACAACGUCAUCAGUAUCAGUGCUAAUCUAUGGAGCGCAUCAUAAACAUAUACAUAUCGUUACACAAACAUU
This 272-nucleotide long non-coding RNA is filed under the name Mytilus galloprovincialis (Mediterranean mussel). The record is from RNAcentral. Lineage: Eukaryota; Metazoa; Mollusca; Bivalvia; Mytilida; Mytilidae.